AGUGAACGCUGGCGGUAGGCCUAACACAUGCAAGUCGAACGGCAGCACAGUAAGAGCUUGCUCUUACGGGUGGCGAGUGGCGGACGGGUGAGGAAUACAUCGGAAUCUACUUUUUCGUGGGGGAUAACGUAGGGAAACUUACGCUAAUACCGCAUACGACCUACGGGUGAAAGCAGGGGAUCUUCGGACCUUGCGCGAUUGAAUGAGCCGAUGUCGGAUUAGUUAGUUGGUGGGGGAGAGGCCCACCAAGGCGACGAUCCUUAGCUGGUCUGAGAGGAUGACCAGCCACACUGGAACUGGGCCACGGUCCAGACUCCUACGGGAGCCAGCAGUGGGGAAUAUUGGCCAAUGGGCGCAAGCCUGAUCCAGCCAUCCCGCGUGGGUGAAGAAGGCCUUCGGGUUGUAAAGCCCUUUUGUUGGGAAAGAAAAGCAGCAGGUUAAUACCCCGCUGUUCUGACGGUACCCAAAGAAUAAGCACCGGCUAACUUCGUG
Molecule: ribosomal RNA, 492 nt
Filed under: uncultured bacterium
Lineage: Bacteria
Description: partial 16S ribosomal RNA
Rfam family: Bacterial small subunit ribosomal RNA
Source: RNAcentral